UACAUCCUCUGGCCGGAUCAGUUUCGCUGCUCACCAAUGCAGCGACCACAUAUACCUGUACAGUGACUUCCACACCUGUGAUUCUGUGUCCAUCAGCCAUCCUCUCGUCCCUACAGUUGCCUCCUCCACCUGUCGUCACCAUCUUAGUGAGUGUGUCGUUGGGUAAGGACUCGGGAGAUGGUAAGUGUGUGGAGAUGUGUGGGCGUGGUGUGGGUGGUGUGGGUUGCUACGUGUCGGGGGUUCUUGUGGGGCGAGAGUGAGGAGGUGGAUCUGUGUGCUGAGGUGUGUCAUUGUCCAGAACAUCUCACCCACAAACACAAGAUUCCCAUCAACUGUCGGGACGCUAACAUCACCCUCCUCCCAGAUGGCGUGAAGGUGCCUAAGCAGUAAUUUCAGCUGUGGAC
This 404-nucleotide long non-coding RNA is filed under the name Homarus americanus (American lobster). RNAcentral describes it as "uncharacterized LOC121853576, transcript variant X1". Lineage: Eukaryota; Metazoa; Arthropoda; Malacostraca; Decapoda; Nephropidae. The record is from RNAcentral.